CCUACGGGAGGCAGCAGUGAGGAAUAUUGGUCAAUGGGCGAGAGCCUGAACCAGCCAAGUCGCGUGAGGGAGUACUGCCCUAUGGUUUGUAAACCUCCUUUGUCGGGGAGCAAAAGCCGGACGUGUCCGGCUGUGAGAGUACCCGAAGAAAAAGCAUCGGCUAACUCCGUGCCAGCAGCCGCGGUAAUACGGGGGAUGCGAGCGUUAUCCGGAUUUAUUGGGUUUAAAGGGUGCGCAGGCGGAUUUUUAAGUCAUCGGUAAAAUCGUGGGAUUAAACCCCAUCCAGCCGUUGAAACUGGGGAUCUAGAGUGUGCGAGAGGUAUGCGGAAUGCGUGGUGUAGCGGUGAAAUGCAUAGAUAUCACGCAGAACCCCGAUUGCGAAGGCAGCAUACCGGUGCACAACUGACGCUCAGGCACGAAAGCGUGGGUAUCGAACAGGAUUAGAUACCCCUGUAGUC
Molecule: ribosomal RNA, 458 nt
Filed under: uncultured bacterium
Lineage: Bacteria
Description: partial 16S ribosomal RNA
Rfam family: Bacterial small subunit ribosomal RNA
Source: RNAcentral